UAGGGAAUCUUCGGCAAUGGACGAAAGUCUGACCGAGCAACGCCGCGUGAGUGAAGAAGGUUUUCGGAUCGUAAAACUCUGUUGUUAGAGAAGAACAAGGGUGAGAGUAACUGUUCACCCCUUGACGGUAUCUAACCAGAAAGCCACGGCUAACUACGUGCAAG
This 164-nucleotide ribosomal RNA is filed under the name uncultured bacterium. RNAcentral's name for it is "partial 16S ribosomal RNA". It matches the Rfam family "Bacterial small subunit ribosomal RNA", at positions 355 to 511 of the family's 1533-position model. The record is from RNAcentral.